GAUGAACGCUAGCGGCAGGCUUAAUACAUGCAAGUUGAGGGGCAGCAUGAUAUACGCGAGUAUAUUGAUGGCGACCGGCGGACGGGUGAGUAAUAGGUAGGAGACCUACCUCAUACAGGGGGAUAGCAUAGAGAAAUCUGUGGUAAUACCCCAUGAGGUUAUAUGAAUAGAGGCAUAUAAUCAAAGCAUAAGCGAUUAUGCGGUAUGAGAGGGGCCUACUGACCAUUAGCUAGUUGGUGAGGUAAGGGCUCACCAAGGCGAAGAUGGUUAGGGGUUUUGAGAGAGAGACCCCCCACAUUGGAACUGAGAGACGGUCCAGACUCCUACGGGAGGCAGCAGUCGAGAAUAGUCUACAAUGGCCGGAAGGCUGAUAGUGCGACGCCGCGUGAACGAGGGAGCCCUUCGGGUGUAAAGUUCUUUCUAUACGAGCAGUGCUAUAUAUAUGGAUAGUAUAUAUAGAGGGAUAGUAGUAUAGG
RNAcentral lists this ribosomal RNA (476 nucleotides) under uncultured bacterium. Its description in RNAcentral is "bacterial SSU rRNA". It matches the Rfam family "Bacterial small subunit ribosomal RNA", at positions 28 to 487 of the family's 1533-position model. The record is from RNAcentral.